CCGAGUUUACAACUCCCAAACCCCUGUGAACAUACCACUUGUUGCCUCGGCGGAUCAGCCCGCUCCCGGUAAAACGGGACGGCCCGCCAGAGGACCCCUAAACUCUUGUAUUUCUAUAUGUAAUCUUCUGAGUAAACAAUCAAAUAAAUUA
Molecule: unclassified non-coding RNA, 151 nt
Filed under: soil metagenome
Description: partial internal transcribed spacer 1
Source: RNAcentral